UUAAAGUUCAUCAAAUAAAGUUUAUAGUUUGGUUUCUGUGUAGACAAUUGCCUCUCUUGUCAUUUGCCUACUACAGUAUAAUCGGUGGUCGGGGCUAAACAGGCAGUGAUAUAAAAUCUGUGGGCGGGGCUAAACAGACAGUGAUUUAGAAUCUGUGGUCGAGGCUAAACAGGCAGUGACAUAGAAUCUGUGGUCGGGGCUAAACAGGCAGUGAUAUAGAAUCUGUGGUCGGGUCUAAACAGGCAGUGAUAUAGAAUCUGUGGUCGGGGCUAAACAGGCAGUGAUAUAGAAUCUGUGGUUGGGUCUAAAGAGGCAGUGAUAUAGAAUCGGUGGUUGGGGCUAAACAGGCAGUUAUGUAGAAUCAGUGGGCGGGGCUAAACAGGCAGUGAUGUAGAAGCAGGCGUUGAGCUUCUUCUGCGGAGGCGGUGUUUAUCCACACUAUUACAUCAUAGAGUGGCACAUUGAUUCCACAAGCUGUUGUUUUGGCAGAAUGGCUUCACUAUAAUCUGUUUUUAGACCAAAGUCCUUUUAAGACAAGGCAUGUCACUCGGCGGCCAUCUUUGAAAUGCCUCUCAGGCAUGCAAGUGCAAC
This is a long non-coding RNA of Cyprinus carpio carpio, 591 nucleotides long. The record is from Ensembl. NCBI's taxonomy places the organism in Eukaryota, Metazoa, Chordata, Actinopteri, Cypriniformes, Cyprinidae.